CCCAGACUCCUACGGGAGGCAGCAGUGGGGGAUAUUGCACAAUGGGGGAAACCCUGAUGCAGCGACGCCGCGUGAGUGAAGAAGUAUUUCGGUAUGUAAAGCUCUAUCAGCAGGGAAGAAAAAAGACGGUACCUGACUAAGAAGCCCCGGCUAACUACGUGCCAGCAGCCGCGGUAAUACGUAGGGGGCAAGCGUUAUCCGGAUUUACUGGGUGUAAAGGGAGCGUAGACGGCAAUACAAGUCGGAAGUGAAAUACCCGGGCUCAACCUGGGAACUGCUUUGGAAACUGUAUGGCUGGAGUGCUGGAGAGGUAAGCGGAAUUCCUAGUGUAGCGGUGAAAUGCGUAGAUAUUAGGAGGAACACCAGUGGCGAAGGCGGCUUACUGGACAGUAACUGACGUUGAGGCUCGAAAGCGUGGGAGCAAACAGGAUUAGAUACCCCGGUAA
This 446-nucleotide ribosomal RNA is filed under the name uncultured bacterium. RNAcentral's name for it is "bacterial SSU rRNA". It matches the Rfam family "Bacterial small subunit ribosomal RNA", at positions 330 to 793 of the family's 1533-position model. The record is from RNAcentral.